AAUAUGUUAUAUGUCUCAUAUACUGUAUUCUUAACAUGCCAGAGAAAAGAAAAAGACAAUCAUAAGGAAAAUAUAUUUACUAGUUAUUAAAUGGAAGUAGAUGAUCCAACAGGUCUUCAUCCUCAUCCUUUUCAUGGGCAGGGUGUGGAGAAGGAUGUAGAAUUGUUGGUUUUUCUAAGUGGACGUGCACAGUUCAAACCCCUGUGGUGCAAAGGCCAACUGUAUAGCCAUUGAAUAGCAAUUUAUUUUUAGAAAUUAAUCCCACUAAAAUACUCUUAGAAGGAUGCCAAGAAAAAAUAUGAAUAAGUAUUUUUGGUUCAUCUAUUUCAUCAUUUCAUUUCCUCAUUUCACUUCCUUUCAUUUCAUUUCAUCCUUUCAUCAUUUCAUUAUUUCAUCUCAACAUUUCAUUUCAUUAUUUCACUUCAUUUCAUUAUUUCAUCUCAACAUUUCAUCAUUUCACUUCAUCUCAUCAUUUCAUCAUUUCAUCUCAUGAUUUCAUCUCCUCAUUUCAUCUUUUCAUCUCAUUUCAUCUUUUCAUCUCAUUUCAUUUCAUAUUUCAGCAAUUCAUCAUUUCAUUUCAUUUAUUUCAUCAUUUCAUCAUUUAUUUCAUAAUUUCAUCAUUUGACUUCAUUUCAUUUCAAUUCAUAUUUCAUCAUUUCAUUUUUUCAUUUCACUUCAUCAUUUCAUUUCAUCAUUUCAUCAUUUCAUCUCAUCGUUUGCAUUUCAUCAUUUCAUUUCAUCUCAUGAUUUCAUCUCAUCAUUUCAUCUUUUCAUCUUAUUUCAUCUCGUCAUUUCAUUUGAUCAUUUCAUCUAUUCACCAUUUCAUCAUUUCAUUAUUUCAUCAUUUAAUCAUUUCACUUCAUCAUUUGAUUUCAUCAUUUCAUGUCAUUUCUUCAUCAUUU
RNAcentral lists this long non-coding RNA (902 nucleotides) under Pan paniscus (pygmy chimpanzee). Its description in RNAcentral is "lncRNA (ENSPPAG00000044878.1)". The record is from RNAcentral. Lineage: Eukaryota; Metazoa; Chordata; Mammalia; Primates; Hominidae.